RNAcentral lists this long non-coding RNA (6207 nucleotides) under Phaseolus vulgaris (common bean). RNAcentral's name for it is "long non-coding RNA (PVUL_LNC001893)". Lineage: Eukaryota; Viridiplantae; Streptophyta; Magnoliopsida; Fabales; Fabaceae. The record is from RNAcentral.
UUGCAUGUCUCAUCAAAGUGUUCGUUGAACCAAAAAAGCUUGUCUUUCAUCAACUCGGCGGCAACACUAGGCUCUAGUUGAUUGAUGUCUAGCUUCAAAAGGUUCACAAUCUUAUUCCAUGAGCUUCUUAGAUAGAGUUCAAGGUUUUGUUGGAAUUUUUCUGUGUUUUUGUGGAGCCAGUCAUCUCCAAGAAUAGGUCCCAGUUCCUUCAGUUUUGCCUCUACUCCUAUAAAUCUCCGGUUGUUCAUGAUGAAAACAUAACCCAAAGUAGGGUUUUUGUAAUUUUUGGAGUUGGCUUCCAAACUGCUCUCUAAAAGCUCAAUCAUCCUGAACAUGUAAAGCAUUCCAUCUUCUAAACCUUGUCCGAGUUUACUUUCCCAACUUAGGUCUAGAUAUUCAAUGAAGUAACUCACUUUAAGCUUAUAAUCAUUUUUGGAGUUAGCUUCCAAAAUAUUAUCUACCAGCAUUCUCACUGUGUUGGCCCUGUACACAGGUGAUGAAGUCUUUUCUUCCUUUAAAUCAUGGCUAAGUUUACUCAUUUCCCUACUUUUGGAAACAAAAUAAAUAUAGUACAUCACUUCAAAGGUAAUAGGAUCAAUUCCUCCACCGGGAAUGAGUGAUACAUCAUCCAAAUCCUCAUAAAUGUACAAUGUCUGCCUUAUCAAGAGUACUUACAAUAUUUCCAUGAGUUGUACAUAAUUCAAACUCUUGUAUCAACUCCUGCAAAGUGUUGCGCAUGAAAUGGCUCCAAGUUGCCAAAACAAGGGCAGAGUUCAGCAGACUAAUUGCCCAUUCCGUGCAAAGUUCCCUGAAAUGAAACUCACAAGAGGAAAGGGAACCGCUAAAGACAAGAUUGAAGAAUCUCCUCUCAUUGGGAAAGAUAAUCCUUGCAGCUAUGUUCAUACCUUUUAUCAAGCUCUCAAUCUUCUCCAUCUUGUUAAUGUCCUCCAUGUUGAGCUCUUGAUCUGGCAACCCUAAUGACCAUAGACUCUCUCAGAAACUCCCUCCGCCAAUUAUUGUACACGUGUAAGCAUUCCUUCUCAAGUCCAUCUGAAAACAUCUUCUGUACACUUUCACGAAGGUUGCUGAUCAUUCCUGGGGACAAUGAAUCCAACAACAUGUUGUCGUCGCAAUACAGUUCUGACACUGAAAUCUGAUCCUCAACUAGAACAUUAGCUUUAAGGUAUUUGUCUACAUGCUUGGAAAUUGUGCUGAUAACGCUCCCAUUCUCCUUCUUAAGAGCCUCUAUACAACCCAUUAAGCAUGCCAUGGUACCAUCAAUGUUUCCUUGAGGAGCACCACCCUCUUGAGGUGAAACUACUUGAGAAGCACUACGUGUUGUUCCUCUUGAAGGCCAAAUCAUAUCAAUGACUGGGUGUGGUUGUGAACAAGCAUUACCUGUACGAGUGACAACUGUUUGGGGUGAAUCCACUAGAGUAACACUAGGACUGGUUCCUUGUGGUUGUGAAUGCAAACCCAUUUCAACCACUACAUGAUCCUGGUGUGGAAGUCCAUGAUACCCACUUCUUGGUUGAGGAUCCAAAGUGGAACGAAGAAGGAUGAGAGAAUACUGAAAGCUCCUCCAACAAUGACUAACCAUAGUUUUAUUUUCAUGAGUUGUACUGUCAGAAGUCCACUGAAAAAAUACAGGAGAUCAACCUCAAAUCCUAAGUGACUCAACCUUGACAAGCCUAGAGACAUGAUAGCAAAUGCAACACACGAAACCAGACUAUAUGCAUCUAGUUUCUCUUUCACAUCUUUAUCAAGGAAAAAGGAGUAUACAGAAGUUAGCAGCAAAGUAGAAAAUGCUGUGUGAGCUUCCAAACAGCGAUAGUUGAAGUAUUCCCAUGUCUUUGCAAACAAGGUGGAAAGGGAGAUUAAGAAACUGAAAACAAUAUAAAGAAAGAUCUUCCACCAGGUCCAAUUUCCAAGUAAAUGAUUGAAAGAGGAGCAGAAAGCAUAACACACAAGUCCAACAAUAGAUGAAACAAAACACACAAAUCUCCAUACCUUUGGCUGAUGCAGCCAACUCUGAAUUUUGAUGAGCAUGAGCAUUGUGUUGUUUCUUAAGCAAGGCUUGCAUUCAGGAACAAAGAUGUUAACCACCGUUGCUUUUAUUUCUGAAUGGGAAGUGCUUAAACCCUUCAAUUUUUUUAUAGGAAUUUGAAAGGAAGGAACUGGGAAAGUUACAUCAGUCUUCUAUUUGUUAACUUAAACCUGGGAUUCUUCUUUUUCUCUCCUUUAUUUAUUUCAGCUAUCUUCCAACUUAAUAAUUAAAUAUAAGUUAUGAUAUACCAGAUUAUAACUGGAAAGAAAAGAAAAACAACUUUAUAUUGAAAUGAAACCAUUUUAAAACAGUAUUGGUCAAACCAUGUGUUCUUGACAAAAGGAGCAAGAGUGUUAGCAUUAAACUCAAAGCCGUCAGCCGUCAGCCGUCAUUAGUUUUAUUUUAGCAUUUGAAUAGCCAAUAAUUAUUAUCUUUAAUUCUAGUUUUGAAUGUCAUUUAUACUAUGAUUUAAAUGUAAAUUAUAGUAUAGGUGUUAUGAGAGAGAAGGUAGAAUUUGAGAAGUCUAUUGUAAGACUAUUUAGAGAGAUUAUAUUCUUAUCUGAAAAGUAGCAGUGAAAUAAAAUAUAUAUUUUCUGUUCACAAAUAUCUUGCUCUGUUUUAUUUCCUCAACACCAACAAUUGGUAUCGGAGCUAUUUUCUUGAGGGAUCUGUGAGGUUAGUAGAGUGCACCAAUGGAAGGAGGAUCAAAUUUUUCAGCAAUGGCACCACCUGUCUUUGAUGGAGACAAUUAUCAAAUGUGGGUUGUUCGUAUGGAGACCUACCUAGAAGCGUUGGAUUUAUGGGAAGCUGUAGAAGAAGACUAUGAAAUUCAGUCCCUUCCAGAAAACCCUACGGUGGCACAAAUAAAAUCACAGAAGGAAAAAAAGAUGAAGAAAUCAAAGGAAAAAACAUGUCUAUUUGCAGCUGUAUCUCCUGUGGUAUUCACAAGGAUAAUGUCCUUGAAGUCAGCAAAAGAAAUUUGGGAUUACCUCAAGGCAGAAUAUGAAGGUGAUGAGAGGAUUCAUGGAAUGCAAACCCUGAAUCUAAUCAGAGAGUUUGAAUUACAAAGAAUGAAGGAGUCGGAAUCCGUAAAAGAGUACUCGGACAGACUUCUAAGCAUUGCCAACAAAAUGAGGUUGCUUGGAUUUGUGUUUAAAGAUUCAAGAAUUGAGGAAAAACUGCUUGUAACAGUUCUAGAGAGGUUUGAAGCCACCAUAACAACCUGGAGAACACAAAGACCUAUCAAAAAUUUCUCUUGCAGAGCUCUUAAAUGCUUUACAAGCACAAGAACAAAGGAGAGCCAUGAUACAAGAUGGAGCAGUAGAAGGAGCCUUACUAGUCAAACAUGAAGGUGGUUGGAGAAACAAAGGUAGAUAUUAUCCUCCUUGUAAGCAUUGCAACAAGUUAGGUCAUCCACCGUUUAAGUGUUGGAGAAGACCUGAUGCUAAGUGCAACAAGUGCAAUCAACUUGGUCAUGAAGCAAUCAUUUGUAGAAACCAAAGUGAGCAACAAGAUGUAGAUGCUCAAAUUGCAAAUGAGGAGGAGGAUGUACUUUUCGUUGCAACUGGUUUUUGCAGCAAUAUUUCAAGUGCAUCUUGGCUAAUUGAUAGUGGCUGCACCAAUCACAUGACACAUGACAAGGAACUCUUCAAGGAAUUGAGAACUACUGAUAUUAAAAGGGUGAGGAUUGGAAAUGGUGAACCCCUUGCAGUAAAAGGAUAAGGCACAAUAGCUAUCACAAGCUAUAAAGGUAUAAAAAUCAUUACAGAUGUUCUUUUUGUGCCAGAGAUUGAUCAAAAUAUUUUGAGUGUUGGUCAAUUGUUGGAAAAAGGCUAUAAAGUGAUGUUUGAAAAUAAACGUUGCUUAAUCAAAGAUAUUGAUGACAGAGAUUUGUUUAAAGUUGAGAUGAAGGGAAAAAGUUUUGCUCUCAAUCCAAUGAAGGAGGAGCACAUGGCCUUUAAGUCCAAAGAAAGUGUCACAGAAAUUUAUGUACCUGACUUGAAGAAUAAUAUUCUCAGUAUGGGAGAAUUAUUGGAGAGUGUUGAAGCAAAAUUUGAUAACCUGGAAAAAAGGUUUACAAAAUUGGAAGAAAAAUAUGUUGAUAUGGAGAAAGACAAUGAAAGUAGAGUCAAUCAAGUUGAAGAACUCCAUUUGUUGCUUUUGGCACAAAAAGAAAAGGAGAAGACCAUAAAUGGAAUGGUGUUGAGACAUCAUCUGAAAGGGAAAUAUGGGAUUGGUGCAAUGAAGAAAAUUGAAGUUGCUUCUAAUCAAGGACAGUAUGGUGACUACUGAAAAAAUAUAAUAUUGGAGGCAGUUGGGAUAAGGAAAAAAUAUAAAGGGUGAGCGAUAACAAUCUGAAUAAAAAUAUUAAAGGUCUGAGUUUAAGAGGGAAUUUGUUAGCAUUAAACUCAAAGCCGUCAGCCGUCAUUAGUUUUAUUUUAGCAUUUGAAUAGCCAAUAAUUAUUAUAUUUAAUUAUAGUUUUGAAUGUCAUUUAUAUUAUGAUUUAAAUGUAAAUUAUAGUAUAGGUGUUAUGAGAGAGAAGGUAGAAUUUUAGAAGUCUAUUGUAAGACUAUUUAGAGAGAUUGUAUUCUUAUUUGAAAAGUAGCAGUGAAAUAAAAUAUAUAUUUUCUGUUCAUGCUCUGUUUUAUUCCCUCAACAAUCUUCCAACUUAAUAAUUAAAUAUAAGUUAUGAUAUACCAGAUUAUAACUGAAAAGAAAAGAAAAACAACUUUAUACUGAAAUGAAACCAUUUUAAAACAGUAUUGAUCAAACCAUGUCUUCUUGACGAAAGGAGCAAGAGAAACCGAUAUCAAUUUGAAUGCUAGUUGAAAUAAUUACCCUCAUGGAAUUCAGAAAAUACAUCAAUCACAAAUUCAAUUAAUUCGAUAUAUCAAUACAACCCAACUUGUAGAAUUCAUUUUAUUUUUUCAUUUAUACGUGUCAAAUAAUUUAAGCUAUGCGAAUCUAGAACAUAUAGAUGAAAACCGAAGAAUAUAAUUUGAAUUUGGAUUUAAGAUAUGCAAAUCUAAAACAGAGAAGUAAUUUAAGCUUAAAUGUACAAUGGUAUUGUUGAUGGCAUGAUUUGGAGUGAGAAUUGAACUCAUGAAACAUAAUCUUUACUUAUAACAAUUACCAUAAUUACAGUAUUCCAAUUACGUGGUAUAGAACACAAGGGCAUAAGUAUCUUUUGGAACUACAAGAUAAUAACAAAAUUUGUAUUCUAAAUCAACUCAAACGCUUGGGUUUUGUGUACGAUUCCUAGGGUCUCCAUCCCUUAAUAGGAUAUGGUCAUCACAUGCAUCUCUUAAUACCAAAUAAUUAAUUUAAUUGUUGUACAGAAAUCUACUUAAAAUGCAUAGAUUAAUCCAAAAAUCUAUUCUAAUAUUGGUCUAAUGUCAGACGUCCAUGAUCCUAUAAAUAAUUUUACCUACCAAAUCAAACAUACGUAUAAAAUGAUAUUUAUUAUAUUCAAUUACCUCAAACCAAACAAUAACUUAGACAUCUGAAUACAUUUUACAGUACGUGCCUACACACCGACCUAAGAUCGAAGAAAAUACGAAAUCAGAAGUCAGUGAUUCAGUAAACUUAAGGAAGGACCGAGACCUUCCCGACAUUUUUUGUAAUUACAUUUGUUUUUUCCUUUGUGUCAGAAGAAACCGAUUCUUAUUCUCCCUUACAACAAACAGAUUGCGAACUCGAUCUUGGAUGUCAAACAUUUCAUACUUAAUAUAAUCAUAACUGUGCUUACCAACAAACUUCUGCAACUUUCCAAUGAAGUUUCCAUAUGCUGGCAACAACAUGUUUUCUAUGGAUUUUAUUAUAUUCUUUCUUAACUCUUCAUCAAACACAAACCAACUACACUCAACAUUGCAUAUCUCAUCAAAGUGUUUGUUGAAGGAAUUUAGCCUGUCUUUCAGUAACCCAACUGCAACACUACUCUCUGAUUCACUCAUAUCCAGCUUCAGAAACUCCACAAUCUUAUUCCACGAGCUUCUCAUAUAAAGUUCAAGGUUUUUCUGGAAUUUUGUUGUGUUUUUCCGGAGCCAACCAUGACCAAAAGUAAGAACCAAUCCAUACAAUUCUGCUUGUAGUUCUAUGACCCUCAGAUUGUUCAUGACGAAAACAUAUCCCAGAGAAGGGUUAUGGUAAUUUUUGGACU